Molecule: non-coding RNA, 69 nt
Organism: Rattus norvegicus (Norway rat)
Lineage: Eukaryota; Metazoa; Chordata; Mammalia; Rodentia; Muridae
Source: Rfam
GGGGAUUUGGCUCAGUGGUAGAGCACUUGCCUAGCAAGCGCAAGGCCCUGGGUUCGGUCCCCAGCUCCA